This 355-nucleotide long non-coding RNA is filed under the name Mytilus galloprovincialis (Mediterranean mussel). The record is from RNAcentral. Lineage: Eukaryota; Metazoa; Mollusca; Bivalvia; Mytilida; Mytilidae.
CAAAAAUUUAGAUACAAGAUGUAAACAAGAACCAAAUCACCAAGCGAUUUGAUCCGUACAGUAUUCUUUUGUUAGGGUCGAUUAAUCUAGUUGAAAAGGGUGUUGGGACUUUUCAAGUAGGAAAUAAAAACAUUAAAGGCUUGAGUGAGCUCGAUAAGGUCGUCCUAAAAUUACUCUUUACCCCUUGUAUAACCAAUGUCUACAAACCAAGAGUAAGUCGAAAAACUGGGUUAAUGUAUUGCGGACGGAGAGUAAUCGCCAAUCACAAUCAACCCGCCAGACCGAUUACUGAUGGACACUGUGGUCCAGGUGAUGGUGCAAACUGUCCAUCAUGUAUAACUAUUAAAGAGCAAAC